UACGGAGGGGGCUAGCGUUGUUCGGAAUUACUGGGCGUAAAGCGCACGUAGGCGGCUUUGUAAGUUAGAGGUGAAAGCCUGGAGCUCAACCCCAGAAUUGCCUUUAAGACUGCAUCGCUUGAAUCCAGGAGAGGUGAGUGGAAUUCCGAGUGUAGAGGUGAAAUUCGUAGAUAUUCGGAAGAACACCAGUGGCGAAGGCGGCUCACUGGACUGGUAUUGACGCUGAGGUGCGAAAGCGUGGGGAGCAAACAGG
This 253-nucleotide ribosomal RNA is filed under the name uncultured bacterium. Its description in RNAcentral is "partial 16S ribosomal RNA". It matches the Rfam family "Bacterial small subunit ribosomal RNA", at positions 524 to 776 of the family's 1533-position model. The record is from RNAcentral.